Molecule: transfer RNA, 85 nt
Filed under: Deltaproteobacteria bacterium
Lineage: Bacteria; Pseudomonadati; Myxococcota; Myxococcia
Description: tRNA-Ser
Rfam family: tRNA
About the family: Transfer RNA (tRNA) molecules are approximately 80 nucleotides in length. Their secondary structure includes four short double-helical elements and three loops (D, anti-codon, and T loops). Further hydrogen bonds mediate the characteristic L-shaped molecular structure. tRNAs have two regions of fundamental functional importance: the anti-codon, which is responsible for specific mRNA codon recognition, and the 3' end, to which the tRNAs corresponding amino acid is attached (by aminoacyl-tRNA synthetases). tRNAs cope with the degeneracy of the genetic code in two manners: having more than one tRNA (with a specific anti-codon) for a particular amino acid; and 'wobble' base-pairing, i.e. permitting non-standard base-pairing at the 3rd anti-codon position.
Source: RNAcentral
GGAGGGGUGGCCGAGUGGUUUAAGGCGGCGGUCUUGAAAACCGCUGGGUCAAAUGACCCCGCAGGUUCGAAUCCUGCUCCCUCCG